GAUGAACGCUGGCGGCGUGCUUAACACAUGCAAGUCGAACGGAAAGGCCAGUGCUUGCCCUGGUGCUCGAGUGGCGAACGGGUGAGUAACACGUGGGUGAUCUGCCCUGCACUUUGGGAUAAGCCUGGGAAACUGGGUCUAAUACCAGAUAGGACCAUGCUUUGGAUGGUGUGGUGGAAAGUUUUUUCGGUGUGGGAUGAGCUUGCGGCCUAUCAGCUUGUUGGUGGGGUAAUGGCCUACCAAGGCGUCGACGGGUAGCCGGCCUGAGAGGGUGUACGGCCACAUUGGGACUGAGAUACGGCCCAGACUCCUACGGGAGGCAGCAGUGGGGAAUAUUGCACAAGGGGCGCAAGCCUGAUGCAGCGACGCCGCGUGGGGGAUGACGGCCUUCGGGUUGUAAACUCCUUUCGCAACUGACGAAGCUUUUUGUGACGGUAGGUUGAGAAGAAGCACCGGCUAACUACGUG
This 467-nucleotide ribosomal RNA is filed under the name uncultured bacterium. RNAcentral describes it as "partial 16S ribosomal RNA". It matches the Rfam family "Bacterial small subunit ribosomal RNA", at positions 28 to 507 of the family's 1533-position model. The record is from RNAcentral.